AGAAGCUUUGAGAGGGGAUAAAACCGUUAUCACAUGGAGGAUGGACAUAUGGCUACUAUCCAGUUUCCAGUUCAGUUCGGUUUUACAGUUUUCGGUUCUGCUGGUCUUUGGAUCGCUAUGGAAAGAGGAAUAGUUAUGGAGUGCUACACCUUAUAUACUGGGUGCUGUUUGGUAGCACUGUUACUAUGCAAUGUUAUUUUACUCUUUUGUAUACAUCUCUCUUUUUGCUGCUGAGGG
This is a non-coding RNA of Pelobates cultripes (western spadefoot toad), 237 nucleotides long. The record is from the annotation of a GenBank genome assembly. Lineage: Eukaryota; Metazoa; Chordata; Amphibia; Anura; Pelobatidae.